RNAcentral lists this long non-coding RNA (1058 nucleotides) under Sorghum bicolor (sorghum). RNAcentral describes it as "long non-coding RNA (SBIC_LNC009552)". Lineage: Eukaryota; Viridiplantae; Streptophyta; Magnoliopsida; Poales; Poaceae. The record is from RNAcentral.
UGUUCUCAAAGCAUGGUUCUUAGCGGCAUCAACAAACCUAUGCAACUCAAGUAUAUAUGAUGGAUCUAGUCUUGAUAAGUUAUACAUCCAUAAGGACCUCUCCAUCAUGACCUGUUGAAAAGUUAGUAAAUUAAUUGAAAUAAUGUCUACGAAUAUUUGUUAUUAAAAAUAAAAGAAUACCUCACAAUUAAAUCAAAUUGAAAAAGGAAUCAUGGAAAUGGUGAGAGGAGAGGCAACAUCUUAAACAAGAGGCCACAAAAAUGCUUAUCGCGUAAUUAAAUCAAAUUUACAUAAAAAAUAACAUCCUAAACAAUAUAAUUUAAAAAACUAAAAAGAAAACUUACCUUUCUUAGCCACCUCCACCUCCUUCCAAGAAAUGAAGAUCAAAACCUCCACCCUUGUAUUUUGACCUGUUGAAAAGUUAGUAAAUUAAUUGAAAUAUUGUCUAGAAAUAUUUGUUAUCAAAAAUAAAAGAACACAUAACAAUUAAAUCCAAUUGAAAAAGUAAAACAAGUAUCAAAAAUAAAGACAAAACCAUAAAUAUAUAUCUUUAUAUCACUAAAAUAAAUUUGACAAGGUACAAAAACACUGUUGAUUGAAACUAAAUAUAUUAUAUCACUAAAAAAUUUGAGAAGGAAACAUGGAAAUGGUGAGAGGAGAGGCAACAUCUGAAGCAACCUCAUAUAUAAAAAAUGCUUAUCGCAUAAUUAAAUCAAAUUUACAUAAAAAAUAACAUCCUAAACCAUAUAAUUUAAAAAACUAAAAAGAAAACUUAUCUUUCUCUCCCUUCCCAAGCAUGGAAACACCAUUCAUGGAAACUACUACAUAUAUAUUUCUUGGAUUCACAAAUUAGAGAAGGAAACAUAAAAAAGAAGAUAGGAGAGAUAUCAUAUAUCCAUCUUAAGCAACUUUAUUUGAGCAAAAUAGACCAUACCUAGCUAUUCUACUCUUUCUCUCUCUCAUGGUGAAACCCUAGAUCCAAAAAGUAGCUCAAAUUGAGCAAGAGGGCACAAAAAGAGGCAUUAGAGGCAUCAACUAACCUUUCUUAGCCACCUCCU